RNAcentral lists this ribosomal RNA (433 nucleotides) under uncultured bacterium. RNAcentral describes it as "partial 16S ribosomal RNA". It matches the Rfam family "Bacterial small subunit ribosomal RNA", at positions 29 to 507 of the family's 1533-position model. The record is from RNAcentral.
AACGAACGCUGGCGGCAUGCCUAACACAUGCAAGUCGAACGAGACCUUCGGGUCUAGUGGCGCACGGGUGCGUAACGCGUGGGAACCUACCCUUAGGUUCGGAAUAACUCCCCGAAAGGGGUGCUAAUACCGGAUAAUGUCUUCGGACCAAAGAUUUAUCGCCUUUGGAUGGGCCCGCGUUGGAUUAGCUAGUUGGUAGGGUAAAAGCCUACCAAGGCGACGAUCCAUAGCUGGUCUGAGAGGAUGAUCAGCCACACUGGGACUGAGACACGGCCCAGACUCCUACGGGAGGCAGCAGUGGGGAAUAUUGGACAAUGGGCGACAGCCUGAUCCAGCAAUGCCGCGUGAGUGAUGAAGGCCUUAGGGUUGUAAAGCUCUUUUACCCGGGAUGAUAAUGACAGUACCGGGAGAAUAAGCUCCGGCUAACUCCGUG